RNAcentral lists this ribosomal RNA (513 nucleotides) under uncultured bacterium. Its description in RNAcentral is "partial 16S ribosomal RNA". It matches the Rfam family "Bacterial small subunit ribosomal RNA", at positions 28 to 507 of the family's 1533-position model. The record is from RNAcentral.
GACGAACGCUGGCGGCGUGCUUAACACAUGCAAGUCGAACGAAAAGAGGGAAAGAGCUUGCUCUUUCCGGAAUUGAGUGGCAAACGGGUGAGUAACACGUAAACAACCUGCCUUCAGGAUGGGGACAACAGACGGAAACGACUGCUAAUACCGAAUAAGUUCCAAGAGCCGCAUGGCCCAUGGAAGAAAAGGUGGCCUCUACCUGUAAGCUAUCGCCUGAAGAGGGGUUUGCGUCUGAUUAGCUGGUUGGAGGGGUAACGGCCCACCAAGGCGACGAUCAGUAGCCGGUCUGAGAGGAUGAACGGCCACACUGGAACUGAGACACGGUCCAGACUCCUACGGGAGGCAGCAGUGGGGAAUCUUCCGCAAUGGGCGAAAGCCUGACGGAGCAACGCCGCGUGAGUGAUGACGGCCCUCGGGUUGUAAAACUCUGUGAUCCGGGACGAAAAGGCAGAGUGCGAAGAACAAACUGCAUUGACGGUACCGGAAAAGCAAGCCACGGCUAACUACGUG